GAUGAAGAACGCAGCGAAAUGCGAUACGUAAUGUGAAUUGCAGAUUUCAGUGAAUCAUCGAAUCUUUGAACGCACAUUGCGCCCGCUAGUAUUCUGGCGGGCAUGCCUGUCUGAGCGUCAUUUCAACCCUCGCCCCCGGCUUUUGCUGGGAGCGGUGUUGGGGAUCGGCCGCCCGUCACUGGGAGGCCGGCCCCGAAAUAGAGUGGCGACCACGCCGUGUGCUCCUCUGCGUAGUAGUAAAUCACCUCGCAGGCGGACAGCGGUGCGGCCUGCCGUAAAACCCCCAACUCUUUCUGGUUGACCUCAGAUCAGGUAGGAAUACCCGCUGAACUUAAGCAUAUCAAUAAGCGGAGGA
Molecule: unclassified non-coding RNA, 355 nt
Filed under: soil metagenome
Description: partial contains 5.8S ribosomal RNA, internal transcribed spacer 2, and large subunit ribosomal RNA
Rfam family: 5.8S ribosomal RNA (bases 1-120)
Source: RNAcentral